UGGGCAAUCUGCCCUUCUCUUCGGAAUAAGCGUUGGAAACGACGUCUAAUGCCGAAUACGACCUCCUUUCGCAUGAUCGGAGGUGGAAAAGCUCCGGCGGAGAAGGAUGAGCUCGCGGCCUAUCAGCUAGUUGGUGAGGUAACGGCUCACCAAGGCAACGAUGCGUAGCCGACCUGAGAGGGUGAUCGGCCACNUUGGAACUGAGACACGGUCAGACCUCCGUAGGAG
RNAcentral lists this ribosomal RNA (228 nucleotides) under uncultured bacterium. Its description in RNAcentral is "partial 16S ribosomal RNA". It matches the Rfam family "Bacterial small subunit ribosomal RNA", at positions 118 to 347 of the family's 1533-position model. The record is from RNAcentral.